Molecule: transfer RNA, 72 nt
Filed under: Camelus bactrianus (Bactrian camel)
Lineage: Eukaryota; Metazoa; Chordata; Mammalia; Artiodactyla; Camelidae
Also listed under: 2 other names
Rfam family: tRNA
About the family: Transfer RNA (tRNA) molecules are approximately 80 nucleotides in length. Their secondary structure includes four short double-helical elements and three loops (D, anti-codon, and T loops).
Source: Rfam by way of RNAcentral
AGGGACAUAGCUCAAUGGUAGAGCACAUGCUUAGCAUACAUGAGGUCCUUGGUUAAAUCCCUAGUACCUUCA